Molecule: ribosomal RNA, 405 nt
Filed under: uncultured bacterium
Lineage: Bacteria
Description: partial 16S ribosomal RNA
Rfam family: Bacterial small subunit ribosomal RNA
Source: RNAcentral
AUUGAACGCUAGCGGGAUGCUUUACACAUGCAAGUCGAACGAGUGGCGGACGGGCGAGCAAUAUAUCGGAACGUGCCCAGUAGCGGGGGAUAACUACUCGAAAGAGUGGCUAAUACCGCACACUAUUGGAGCGGCCGUUAUCGGUUUUGCCAGUUGGUGGGGUAAAGGCUCCCCAAGGCAACGAUCCGUAGCGGGUUUGAGAGGAUGACCAGCCACACUGGAACGGGGACACGGCCCAGACUCCUACGGGAGGCAGCAGUGGGGAAUUUUGGGCAAUGGGGGAAACCCUGAUCCAGCCAUCCCGCGUGUAUGAGAAGGCCUUCGGGUUGUAAAGUACUUUUGGCAGAGAAGCGGUAUCUACAGAAUAAGCACCGGCUAACUACGUGCCAGCAGCCGCGGUAAUAC